GAUAAACGCUGGCGGCGUGCAUAACACAUUCAAGUCGAACGGACUGAUACGAAAGCUUGCUUUUGUUGAAAGUUAGUGGCGGACGGGUGAGUAAACGCGUGAGCAACCUGCCUAUUUGAGCGGAAUAACACCCGGAAACGGGUGCUAAUACCGCAUGAAGCACACGAAUCGCAUGGUUUGUGUGUCAAAGAUUUAUCGCAGAUAGAUGGGCUCGCGUCUGAUUAGCUGGUUGGUGAGGUAACGGCUCACCAAGGCGACGAUCAGUAGCCGGACUGAGAGGUUGAACGGCCACAUUGGAACUGAGAUACGGUCCAGACUCCUACGGGAGGCAGCAGUGGGGAAUAUUGGGCAAUGGGGGCAAACCCUGACCCAGCGACGCCGCGUGAGGGAAGAAGGUCUUCGGAUUGUAAACCUUUGUUAACGGGUACGAAAAAAUGACGGUACCCGAAUAGAAAGCCACGGCUAACUACGUGCCAGCCGCCGCCGUAAAU
This 491-nucleotide ribosomal RNA is filed under the name uncultured bacterium. RNAcentral describes it as "bacterial SSU rRNA". It matches the Rfam family "Bacterial small subunit ribosomal RNA", at positions 28 to 525 of the family's 1533-position model. The record is from RNAcentral.